AGAGAGGUGGCCGAGUGGUCGAAGGCGCACGCCUGGAAAGUGUGUAUACCCUAACCGGGUAUCGAGGGUUCGAAUCCCUUCCUCUCUGCUA
Molecule: transfer RNA, 91 nt
Filed under: Flavobacteriaceae bacterium
Lineage: Bacteria; Pseudomonadati; Bacteroidota; Flavobacteriia; Flavobacteriales; Flavobacteriaceae
Description: tRNA-Ser
Rfam family: tRNA
About the family: Transfer RNA (tRNA) molecules are approximately 80 nucleotides in length. Their secondary structure includes four short double-helical elements and three loops (D, anti-codon, and T loops).
Source: RNAcentral